RNAcentral lists this unclassified non-coding RNA (424 nucleotides) under soil metagenome. Its description in RNAcentral is "partial contains 5.8S ribosomal RNA, internal transcribed spacer 2, and large subunit ribosomal RNA". The stretch from base 1 to 121 matches the Rfam family "5.8S ribosomal RNA", at positions 35 to 154 of the family's 154-position model. The record is from RNAcentral.
GAUGAAGAACGCAGCGAAAUGCGAUAGGUAGUGUGAAUUGCAGAUGUAACGUGAAUCAUCGAAUCUUUGAACGCAAAUUGCACUCUCUGGUAUUCCGGGGAGUAUGCCUGUUUGAGGGUCGUCUAAAUUAAACAUCGAUUUUAUUGCUUAUUUUUUUAUAUAAAAAGUAAAUAUUAUCGGAUUUGAGCUUUUCUUUAUAUAUAAUUUUUGUAUAAAGUAGCUUAAAAUUUUUUUUUGGUAUCAAAAAGCGUAUUUUAUAUAGUCAAUUCUGAUUAAAAAACGCUUGAAUUUUUGUAUACCACCAUCAUGUAAUACGUUUGACUUGUCAUUUUUAAGUUCAUUCGUAUACGAAGUUUUUUUCAAUUUUAGACCUCAAAUCAGGUAAGAAUACCCGCUGAACUUAAGCAUAUCAAUAAGCGGAGGA